Molecule: ribosomal RNA, 396 nt
Filed under: uncultured bacterium
Lineage: Bacteria
Description: partial 16S ribosomal RNA
Rfam family: Bacterial small subunit ribosomal RNA
Source: RNAcentral
AUACGUAGGGGGCGAGCGUUGUCCGGAAUGACUGGGCGUAAAGGGCGUGUAGGCGGCUGUCUAAGUCUGGAGUGAAAGUCCUGCUUUCAAGGUGGGAAUUGCUUUGGAGACUGGAUGGCUUGAGUGCGGAAGAGGUAAGUGGAAUUCCCAGUGUAGCGGUGAAAUGCGUAGAGAUUGGGAGGAACACCAGUGGCGAAGGCGACUUACUGGGCCGUAACUGACGCUGAGGCGCGAAAGCGUGGGGAGCGAACAGGAUUAGAUACCCUGGUAGUCCACGCGGUAAACGAUGAAUGCCAGGUGUUGCGGGUAUCGACCCCUGCAGUGCCGGAGUAAACACAAUAAGCAUUCCGCCUGGGGAGUACGGCCGCAAGGUUGAAACUCAAAGGAAUUGACGGG